ACGAACGCUGGCGGCGUGCUAAACACCUGCAAGUCGAACGGAAAGGCCCUGCUUUUGUGGGGUGCUCGAGUGGCGAACGGGUGAGUAACACGUGAGUAACCUGCCCUUGACUUUGGGAUAACUUCAGGAAACUGGGGCUAAUACCGGAUAGGAGCUCCUGCUGCAUGGUGGGGGUUGGAAAGUUUCGGCGGUUGGGGAUGGACUCGCGGCUUAUCAGCUUGUUGGUGGGGUAGUGGCUUACCAAGGCUUUGACGGGUAGCCGGCCUGAGAGGGUGACCGGCCACAUUGGGACUGAGAUACGGCCCAGACUCCUACGGGAGGCAGCAGUGGGGAAUAUUGCACAAUGGGCGGAAGCCUGAUGCAGCAACGCCGCGUGCGGGAUGACGGCCUUCGGGUUGUAAACCGCUUUCGCCUGUGACGAAGCGUGAGUGACGGUAAUGGGUAAAGAAGCACCGGCUAACUACGUG
RNAcentral lists this ribosomal RNA (467 nucleotides) under uncultured bacterium. RNAcentral's name for it is "partial 16S ribosomal RNA". It matches the Rfam family "Bacterial small subunit ribosomal RNA", at positions 29 to 507 of the family's 1533-position model. The record is from RNAcentral.